Molecule: ribosomal RNA, 494 nt
Filed under: uncultured bacterium
Lineage: Bacteria
Description: partial 16S ribosomal RNA
Rfam family: Bacterial small subunit ribosomal RNA
Source: RNAcentral
GACGAACGCUGGCGGCGUGCUUAACACAUGCAAGUCGAACGGUGAAGCGCCUUCCUUUUUGGUGGGUGUGGAUGAGUGGCGAACGGGUGAGUAACACGUGAGUAACCUGCCCCCUUCUUCUGGAUAACCGCAUGAAAGUGUGGCUAAUACGGGAUAUUCUGGGUCUGUCGCAUGAUGGGUCUGGGAAAGAUAUUGUUUCGGUGGGGGAUGGGCUCGCGGCCUAUCAGCUUGUUGGUGGGGUGAUGGCCUACCAAGGCGGUGACGGGUAGCCGGCCUGGGAGGGUGGACGGUCACACGAGGACUGAGACACGGCCCAGACUCCUACGGGAGGCAGCGGGGGGGAAUAUUGCACAAUGGGCGCAAUGCUGAUGCAGCGACGCCGCGUGGGGGAUGGAGGCCUUCGGGUUGUGAACCUCUUUCGCCAGUGAAGCAGGCCUGCCUCGUUUGUGGGUGGGUUGACGGUAGCUGGAGAAGAAGCGCCGGCUAACUACGUG